Molecule: ribosomal RNA, 372 nt
Filed under: uncultured eukaryote
Lineage: Eukaryota
Description: partial 18S ribosomal RNA
Rfam family: Eukaryotic small subunit ribosomal RNA
Source: RNAcentral
CAAUAGCGUAUAUUAAAGUUGUUGCAGUUAAAAAGCUCGUAGUUGGAUUUCUGGGAGGGUGCCAAUGUCCGCUGAGGCGAGCGCAGAGGCGCCCUUCCAUCCUUCUGUUAACGUUUCUUGGUAUUCAGUUACUGGUUUCGGGCUCAGAUAUUUUACCUUGAGAAAAUUAGAGUGUUUCAGGCAGGCUUGCGCCGGAAUACAUUAGCAUGGAAUAAUAGAAAAGGACUUUAGUCUCCCUUGUUGGUUUAGGGACUGAAGUAAUGAUUAAUAGGGAUAGUUGGGGGCAUUAGUAUUUAAUUGUCAGAGGUAAAAUUCUCGGAUUUGUUAAAGACUAACUUAUGCGAAAGCAUUUGCCAAGGAUGUUUNCAUUAA